GUUUUUCUAGUAUAAAUUAGUAUAACUGACUUCCAAUCAGUAGGCUUGAUAUUAAAUCAAGAAAAACA
Molecule: transfer RNA, 68 nt
Filed under: Pseudotmethis rubimarginis
Lineage: Eukaryota; Metazoa; Arthropoda; Insecta; Orthoptera; Pamphagidae
Also listed under: 4 other names
Description: tRNA-Gly
Rfam family: tRNA
About the family: Transfer RNA (tRNA) molecules are approximately 80 nucleotides in length.
Source: RNAcentral